ACGAGGGCUAGAGUACUAGGUGA
RNAcentral lists this microRNA (23 nucleotides) under Pristionchus pacificus. Its description in RNAcentral is "ppc-miR-8260-3p". The record is from miRBase by way of RNAcentral. Lineage: Eukaryota; Metazoa; Nematoda; Chromadorea; Rhabditida; Neodiplogasteridae.